UUGAAAGCAUUCAGGCAGUUGCUGCUGGCCUCUUACGAGGCAUGUGCACACUGCUAGAAUUUUUCUAUAUCCACCUGUGCACUUUUUGUAGAAGUUCUUUAGAUUGGCUUUAUAGGUUUCGACCUAGCGAGUUGAUUCAAAAGGCUUCUAUGUUUUACAAACUAGUUAAGCAUGUUUAGAAUGUCUUUUAUUGGGACUUUAUUGACCCUUUAAACUAUA
RNAcentral lists this unclassified non-coding RNA (219 nucleotides) under uncultured Gymnopus. RNAcentral's name for it is "sequence contains ITS1". The record is from RNAcentral. Lineage: Eukaryota; Fungi; Basidiomycota; Agaricomycetes; Agaricales; Tricholomataceae.